Heterocephalus glaber (naked mole-rat) is the source of this 1041-nucleotide long non-coding RNA. RefSeq lists it as uncharacterized. The record is from RefSeq and is a predicted model, not a curated record. Lineage: Eukaryota; Metazoa; Chordata; Mammalia; Rodentia; Bathyergidae.
CCGGGCGGGCGGGCCCGGGAGCCGCCGCGCCGCCGCGGGACGCGCAGGGCUUUAAGAAGGCUCUUGGCUGGAAGGAGAGAACUUGGAGUCCACGAUUACUGACAGCUAUAUGAUGCUUGUCACAGCUGCUGAUCUUAAUAAGGGGGAGACAGUUGAAAAAGAGAAGAUAUUAAUAAACUAAUGCAAGCAAAGAUGCGGUUGAAAUGAGAAAGGAAAUAUAACAAAGUGCCAUGGGAAUUCAAAUGAGAGAGAUUUAAGACCAUGAGACUUAAGGCAUCUCGUCUGAUCUUUGAAACACUAAUUUAUUUGGAGUAGACCGAGAAAAGACACUCUGCACACAACCAAAAGCACGGAAAAAGUCACGGAGUGUGAGCAAGAGUGGGCUGUGGUGUAGCUGCAGAAACUACCUUAGUCAGCACCGGGGAAGAAUUGACAGCACAGCUGACUGGGGCGCUUGACCAAGAGGCUCCCUGGAGGGCCUCUGUCUCCAGGAUUCUCAACGAAAAUUCAGCUCUUCCCGCACUCGUCCCCCACACUGGGCCACCAGAGGACCAGGCUGUGACGUGGUCAUUUUACUGUCAAACCUCUGGUACCAAAGAGAUGCUCAAAACAUAGAUUUUGCAUCAAUGAAAGCAAAGUGGACAGUGUUGGGGCCUUGGGUGAAAACCUGCAUAGACAGCUUUAAACACUCAACAAAGGCUGAACAGUCUUCAGUGGGGAGUGAUAAUUCAGGAAAUCUGGGGAAGAUUUGAUGACACUAAGAGCCUGUUUAGGAGGAAUGAUCAAGGAGGAAGGCUUGAUUGCCUUAAGGGUUGGAUUUCUAAGUAGUUCCUUGAGGCUCCAAAAUUCUAUGAUUGACAGAAGGGGAAACUGGGAUCUAUUGCAUUAAUUAGGAAAGGAAUGAAGCUUGGAGCUGAUAGGUAAUGUCCGGAGCCAAUGCACAAAUAUCUAGAGUCAACAAUAGCCGGAAGAGUCAGAGGCUGGUGACAAAUAGUAAAAAAAAAAAAAAAGAAUAGAAAGUAAAUUGUUGAAGAGAAUUUA